GCGGGUGUAGUUCAAUGGUAGAACUUCAGCUUCCCAAGCUGAUAGCGUGGGUUCGAUUCCCAUCACCCGCUCAA
Molecule: transfer RNA, 74 nt
Filed under: Legionella hackeliae
Lineage: Bacteria; Pseudomonadati; Pseudomonadota; Gammaproteobacteria; Legionellales; Legionellaceae
Also listed under: 4 other names
Description: tRNA-Gly
Rfam family: tRNA
About the family: Transfer RNA (tRNA) molecules are approximately 80 nucleotides in length. Their secondary structure includes four short double-helical elements and three loops (D, anti-codon, and T loops). Further hydrogen bonds mediate the characteristic L-shaped molecular structure. tRNAs have two regions of fundamental functional importance: the anti-codon, which is responsible for specific mRNA codon recognition, and the 3' end, to which the tRNAs corresponding amino acid is attached (by aminoacyl-tRNA synthetases). tRNAs cope with the degeneracy of the genetic code in two manners: having more than one tRNA (with a specific anti-codon) for a particular amino acid; and 'wobble' base-pairing, i.e. permitting non-standard base-pairing at the 3rd anti-codon position.
Source: RNAcentral